RNAcentral lists this ribosomal RNA (720 nucleotides) under Mammaliicoccus sciuri. RNAcentral's name for it is "bacterial SSU rRNA". It matches the Rfam family "Bacterial small subunit ribosomal RNA", at positions 202 to 911 of the family's 1533-position model. The record is from RNAcentral. Lineage: Bacteria; Bacillati; Bacillota; Bacilli; Caryophanales; Staphylococcaceae.
AGACGGUUUCGGCUGUCACUUAUAGAUGGACCCGCGCCGUAUUAGCUAGUUGGUAAGGUAACGGCUUACCAAGGCGACGAUACGUAGCCGACCUGAGAGGGUGAUCGGCCACACUGGAACUGAGACACGGUCCAGACUCCUACGGGAGGCAGCAGUAGGGAAUCUUCCGCAAUGGGCGAAAGCCUGACGGAGCAACGCCGCGUGAGUGAUGAAGGUCUUCGGAUCGUAAAACUCUGUUGUUAGGGAAGAACAAAUUUGUUAGUAACUGAACAAGUCUUGACGGUACCUAACCAGAAAGCCACGGCUAACUACGUGCCAGCAGCCGCGGUAAUACGUAGGUGGCAAGCGUUAUCCGGAAUUAUUGGGCGUAAAGCGCGCGUAGGCGGUUUCUUAAGUCUGAUGUGAAAGCCCACGGCUCAACCGUGGAGGGUCAUUGGAAACUGGGAAACUUGAGUGCAGAAGAGGAGAGUGGAAUUCCAUGUGUAGCGGUGAAAUGCGCAGAGAUAUGGAGGAACACCAGUGGCGAAGGCGGCUCUCUGGUCUGUAACUGACGCUGAUGUGCGAAAGCGUGGGGAUCAAACAGGAUUAGAUACCCUGGUAGUCCACGCCGUAAACGAUGAGUGCUAAGUGUUAGGGGGUUUCCGCCCCUUAGUGCUGCAGCUAACGCAUUAAGCACUCCGCCUGGGGAGUACGACCGCAAGGUUGAAACUCAAAGGAAUU